GGAUGCGAUCAUACCAGCAUUAAAGCACCGGAUCCCAUCAGAACUCCGAAGUUAAGCGUGCUUGGUCGAGAGUAGUACUAGGAUUUUGACUCGCGCCGCUGCGUCCC
RNAcentral lists this ribosomal RNA (107 nucleotides) under Oryza sativa Indica Group (long-grained rice). The record is from RNAcentral. Lineage: Eukaryota; Viridiplantae; Streptophyta; Magnoliopsida; Poales; Poaceae.